UUCCUACGGGUGGCUGCAGUGGGGAAUAUUGGACAAUGGGCGCAAGCCUGAUCCAGCCAUGCCGCGUGAGUGAUGACGGCCUUAGGGUUGUAAAGCUCUUUCGCCAGGGACGAUAAUGACGGUACCUGGAUAAGAAGCCCCGGCUAACUUCGUGCCAGCAGCCGCGGUAAUACGAAGGGGGCUAGCGUUGUUCGGAAUCACUGGGCGUAAAGCGCACGUAGGCGGAUCUUUAAGUCAGAGGUGAAAUCCCAAGGCUCAACCGUGGAACUGCCUUUGAUACUGGGGAUCUCGAGUUCGGGAGAGGUGAGUGGAACUGCGAGUGUAGAGGUGAAAUUCGUAGAUAUUCGCAAGAACACCAGUGGCGAAGGCGGCUCACUGGCCCGAUACUGACGCUGAGGUGCGAAAGCGUGGGGAGCAAACAGGAUUAGAUACCCCUGUAGUC
RNAcentral lists this ribosomal RNA (442 nucleotides) under uncultured Methylocystaceae bacterium. RNAcentral's name for it is "bacterial SSU rRNA". It matches the Rfam family "Bacterial small subunit ribosomal RNA", at positions 336 to 795 of the family's 1533-position model. Lineage: Bacteria; Pseudomonadati; Pseudomonadota; Alphaproteobacteria; Hyphomicrobiales; Methylocystaceae. The record is from RNAcentral.